This 467-nucleotide ribosomal RNA is filed under the name uncultured bacterium. RNAcentral's name for it is "partial 16S ribosomal RNA". It matches the Rfam family "Bacterial small subunit ribosomal RNA", at positions 355 to 839 of the family's 1533-position model. The record is from RNAcentral.
UGGGGAAUAUUGGACAAUGGGGGCAACCCUGAUCCAGCAAUGCCGCGUGUGUGAAGAAGGUCUUCGGAUUGUAAAGCACUUUCGACGGGGACGAUGAUGACGGUACCCGUAGAAGAAGCCCCGGCUAACUUCGUGCCAGCAGCCGCGGUAAUACGAAGGGGGCUAGCGUUGCUCGGAAUGACUGGGCGUAAAGGGCGUGUAGGCGGUUUACACAGUCAGAUGUGAAAUCCCCGGGCUUAACCUGGGAGCUGCAUUUGAUACGUGUAGACUAGAGUGUGAGAGGGGGUUGUGGAAUUCCCAGUGUAGAGGUGAAAUUCGUAGAUAUUGGGAAGAACACCGGUGGCGAAGGCGGCAACCUGGCUCAUGACUGACGCUGAGGCGCGAAAGCGUGGGGAGCAAACAGGAUUAGAUACCCUGGUAGUCCACGCUGUAAACGAUGUGUGCUAGAUGUUGGGUAACUUUGUUAU